UGGGGAAUUUUGGACAAUGGGGGAAACCCUGAUCCAGCCAUCCCGCGUGUGCGAUGAAGGCCUUCGGGUUGUAAAGCACUUUUGGCAGGAAAGAAACGUCGCGGGUUAAUACCCCGCGGAACUGACGGUACCUGCAGAAUAAGCACCGGCUAACUACGUGCCAGCAGCCGCGGUAAUACGUAGGGUGCAAGCGUUAAUCGGAAUUACUGGGCGUAAAGCGUGCGCAGGCGGUUCGGAAAGAAAGAUGUGAAAUCCCAGAGCUUAACUUUGGAACUGCAUUUUUAACUACCCGGGCUAGAGUGUGUCAGAGGGAGGUGGAAUUCCGCGUGUAGCAGUGAAAUGCGUAGAUAUGCGGAGGAACACCGAUGGCGAAGGCAGCCUCCUGGGAUAACACUGACGCUCAUGCACGAAAGCGUGGGGAGCAAACAGGAUUAGAUACCCUGGUAGUCCACGCCCU
RNAcentral lists this ribosomal RNA (457 nucleotides) under uncultured bacterium. RNAcentral's name for it is "partial 16S ribosomal RNA". It matches the Rfam family "Bacterial small subunit ribosomal RNA", at positions 355 to 803 of the family's 1533-position model. The record is from RNAcentral.